Transfer RNA from Loxodonta africana (African savanna elephant), 71 nucleotides. It matches the Rfam family "tRNA". Rfam says of the family: Transfer RNA (tRNA) molecules are approximately 80 nucleotides in length. Their secondary structure includes four short double-helical elements and three loops (D, anti-codon, and T loops). NCBI's taxonomy places the organism in Eukaryota, Metazoa, Chordata, Mammalia, Proboscidea, Elephantidae. The record is from Rfam.
ACAUUGGUGGUUCGGUGGUACAAUUCUUGCCUUCCAUGUGGGAGACCCAGGUUUGAUUUCUGGCCAGUGUA